UUUAAUUUUUAAAAAUUCCUUGUCUUUGUGGUGGAAAAAGGAUGAAACUGAAAGGGGGAAGAAGUGGAAAGGAAAAGACAGAAGAAUGGGAAAGCAAAAAAGAGAGACUGCUUACCAAAACAGCGGGUGGUGUGCAUCUGUGGGCUGGUCUGCUGACCUCAGGUCAGUAGGUAGAUCUCUUCAAGGAGGGAGCACCAGAACAGGAACAGGGGUUUGGUCUCCCGUAGGAGUUCCCCCGUCCCGGGCUUCGGCACCAAAUGUUUAAAACGUGCGCUUUGAAUGAAGAGACCCUCAAAUAGGUUUUGUGUGAGCAACACGGCUGUUUAUUCACCUGGGUGCAGGUGGGCUAAGUCCGAAAAGAAUAUGACCAAAUUCUUUCAGUCAUAUUGGCCCCUGCUGCCUGCAGGCACUGUGGAAGGAUGAUGCUCACUUGCUUCCUGGUAACCAGCUCUCUUACCUCAAACCUCAACCCUCAGGGAGGAUAACAGGACCUGCGAAGGGCAGCUCAGCCUGGAAACAGCCCCAGAGGAGUGAGAUUGCUGGUCCUCUCCCGGGAUCCCAGGCCCAGGGCAAACCCAGCCGCACUUGCAGCCAGGAGAGGGCAGGCAACAGAGCCCAGGCCCCCCUUCAGCCUCCUUAGCCAGGAGGGUAUGUCCCAUUUCCUUCAGAGUUGGGAGGCACCCUAGAAUCACUUAGCUUCAGAUGCCAAAUUCCAUCCAUUCUUUCCUCCAACUUUGUGGCAGUGGGAAUCUGCCUUUACAGGCAGGGCAGCUCUGAUGACUGCCUCCAGGAGGAAGCCCUGGGCACCAAUGAAGGAGAUGGAGUAGCAGCAGAUCUCUCGGUCCUGGAUGGCAGACAGAUUCCUGGGGGAAACCAGAGCAGAGUCGGCUGAAGCCAUGAUCGCCCGGGGGGUCUGGGGCUAGGGGACAGCAGGGCCUUUUUCUUACUCAGGAGGCUACAACAGGGAGGGUGAGGCUCCUGAAAAGGUGGGCUCUGCCGCCGCCGUGUGGCUAAUCCUGAGAACAGCAGCAAGCCUCAGCUGUCGGUCUGGCGGUUGGGGAAUUGGGAGAGCAGAAAGUAAUAUAAAGAGCCACCCAACUCA
This is a long non-coding RNA of Cebus imitator (Panamanian white-faced capuchin), 1102 nucleotides long. RefSeq lists it as uncharacterized. The transcript is spliced from 2 exons. The record is from RefSeq and is a predicted model, not a curated record. Lineage: Eukaryota; Metazoa; Chordata; Mammalia; Primates; Cebidae.